This 332-nucleotide ribosomal RNA is filed under the name Burkholderia ambifaria. RNAcentral describes it as "bacterial SSU rRNA". It matches the Rfam family "Bacterial small subunit ribosomal RNA", at positions 395 to 719 of the family's 1533-position model. Lineage: Bacteria; Pseudomonadati; Pseudomonadota; Betaproteobacteria; Burkholderiales; Burkholderiaceae. The record is from RNAcentral.
UGCCGCGUGUGUGAAGAAGGCCUUCGGGUUGUAAAGCACUUUUGUCCGGAAAGAAAUCCUUGGUUCUAAUAUGGCCGGGGGAUGACGGUACCGGAAGAAUAAGCACCGGCUAACUACGUGCCAGCAGCCGCGGUAAUACGUAGGGUGCAAGCGUUAAUCGGAAUUACUGGGCGUAAAGCGUGCGCAGGCGGUUUGUUAAGACCGAUGUGAAAUCCCCGGGCUCAACCUGGGAACUGCAUUGGUGACUGGAAAGCUAGAGUAUGGCAGAGGGGGGUAGAAUUCCACGUGUAGCAGUGAAAUGCGUAGAGAUGUGGAGGAAUACCGAUGGCGAA